CCCUCGGAUUGGGCCCCCGAACCCAGACUGGGCUCUCCCAUUGGUGGGCGGAGCUGUCCGUCAGGCCAGGGGCAUGCUGGGAGUUGUAGGCCGGUGCAACCCAGGCUGCAAAAUCAUCUUUCUCCAUCAGGAACUACUCUCUCAUGAAUGAUGUACCCCGGACCGAAAACUCCUCAAGUGAAAUGCAUGAGAUGAGGAAGGGUGUUGGAAUGCUGGUUCUAAUACAUCAUUCUAUGGUAGUGGAGCUACAGGAUUUCACAAACAUUUUAUCCCACUUCAUGGAAGCUGAUGUUGACAUAACAGCAUGACUAUUAUCCAUACCCCUGGAGUUCCAAUUUUUCUUUAUCAAGCAGCCUUAAUCAUCAUAUUGGACCCUGCGAAGCAGGUGCACUUCACAGAGG
Molecule: non-coding RNA, 401 nt
Organism: Miniopterus natalensis
Lineage: Eukaryota; Metazoa; Chordata; Mammalia; Chiroptera; Miniopteridae
Source: RefSeq, a predicted model, not a curated record